This 6417-nucleotide long non-coding RNA is filed under the name Nicotiana benthamiana. RNAcentral's name for it is "long non-coding RNA (NBEN_LNC013427)". The record is from RNAcentral. Lineage: Eukaryota; Viridiplantae; Streptophyta; Magnoliopsida; Solanales; Solanaceae.
UCAAGUCGGCCGCAAACUAGCUCACAAUGCCUUUCCCUCGAGAAUCAACCUCCGCGAACGCCAAAUCUGGUCAAAACCAAUAGGAAUACGUCAAAAUAGGCUAAUGGAGCAUAACCCAAUCGAAAUAACUCGAAAUACACCCAAAAACACGAAGUUGGAAAAACCUGAGCCCACUUCUCGAAAAAUUCUAAAAUUUACAUUUUCAGAAUCCUCGUCUCGCCACGAGUCCAUACGUAUAAAUUUCAUCAAAAUCGGAGUCCAAUAGCUCCUCCAAAUCCCCAAUUUUUCAUUUGAAAUUUCAAGCCCUAGUUCUUCAAUCUUUUAUGCCCAAUUUCAGAGAAUUAAUGGAUGAUUCUUCGACUAAAUGACGUAUUAAGACCACGAGACUUACCUCCAAUUACUUCCCGUUGAAAUCCCCUUCAAAAUUCGUCAACAAGCUCUCAAGGUGGUGCAAAAAUGGAGGAAAUACGAAAUAGCUCGCGGAUGAAAUUUUUUAUAAAAACCUAACUGCCCAGCGAUUCCUUAUACACGAUUGCAGCCCCAGGCUUGCGAUCGCAGAGAACAAAAUUGAAGCUCCCAAAUUUACCCUUAUGUGAUCGUACCCAGCUCCACGCGAUCGCAUUACUCUGCCUCAUAUCCUUACGCGAACACGGUCCUUCCGACGCGAUCGCAGAGAACAAUGACUUCAACCUACGCGAUCACAUCUCCAACUAUGUGAUCGCAUUGAAGAAAUUACUGGGGCCCUGACCACCCUCCAAUGCGAUCGCAAUGUCAUAUGUGCGAUCGCAUAGAGUAAUUUUGCCUGCAACUGCUGUGCUAAAAUUCUGCAACUUUUCCAAAACUAAAAUCCUUCCGUUAGCCAUCCGAAAUCACCCUGAGGCCCACAGGACCUCAACCAUCACUUCCCGUCGAAAUCCCCUUCAAAAUCCGUCAACAAGCUUUCAAGUGGUGAAAAAAUGGAGAAAAUAUGAAAUAGCCCGCGGAUGAAAUUUCUAUUAAAACAGGUACGCCCAGAUGCACUUUACUCUUUGUGAUCGCGGUCACCACCAACGCAAGCGCGAUGCCGUAAAAUCGUAGGCCUGGAAUUUACCUUACGCGAACACGGUUCCCAGGCCGCGAAUGCGAUGCUUCAGAUGCCUCAACUACGCAAUCGCAACUCAACCCACGCGAUCGUGAAGCACCCAGAACCCAAUCCUACGUGAUCGCAGCUCGAUCCACGCGAUCGCGAAGGCCAAAUCUCUGCAACACCAACAGUUGAAAAUCUGCUACCUUUCCAAGCCAAAAAUCCUUCCGUUAACCAUCCGAAAUCCCCCCAAGGCCCCCGGGACCUCAAUCAAAAAAACCAACACGAUUAAUACCUCCUUCAAACUUGCUCGGGCCAUAAUAACACUAAUGUUAACACCAAAAAUCACCAAAAUCCUCAAAUUCAAGCCUAAGUACAACUAGAACUUUUCCAAAUUCGCAUUUGAUCCAAAACCCAACCUAAACACCUCCGAAUGAUAUAAAAAUUUGCACACAUAUCAAAAAUCAACUAACGGAGCUACUGCAUUUGUCGGAAUUCCAUUCUAACCCCUGGAUCAAAAUCUCACCUAUUAACCGGAACUCGCCAAAAUUCAAACUUAGCUAAUUCAAGCAUAAAUCUACACAGGACCUCCAAAUUAAAUUCUGAUUUCGCUCCCAAGUCAUAAAUCACCAUCCAAAACUAGUCAAAUUGCCGGAAAUCCGUUCCGAGCCUCUAACUCAUAAGUCAACAUUCUGUUGACUUUUUCAACUUAAACUUUCCUUAAAGAGACUAUUGGUCUCAUUUCUAUCCAAAUUCUAUCCGAAACACUUCAAAUUCAUCAACCACAUAUAGUGAAACUCGGGGAAGCAUAAAAUAGGGAAUUCGGGGCAAAAAUACAAGAGACGACGGGUCGUGUCGUCACAUUCAUCUGCCCUCAAAUAGGAUAUUUUGGGUUCAUCCGCCCUCGAAUAGUUUAUUAUUGGUUCAUCCGCCCUCAAGUAGGAUAUUAUGGGUUCAUCUGCCUUCGAAUAGGAUAUUUUAGGUUCAUCCUCCCUCGAAUAGGAUAUUUUGGCUUCAUCUUCCCUCAAAUAGGAUAUUUCGGGACUAUCCGCCCUCAAAUAGGAUAUUGAAUUUAAUCCUUCCUCAAAAGGGCAUUUAAUUUAUUUUGACCUGAGUGGUCCUGGUUGUAUAAAUAUUGCCAAAAUAUAUAUUUCACAAAUCAUUGCCAAAUGCAUUUUAUUUUCAAGUUGUUGUUGGAGUUAGGCGACCACCUGUAUAACAAGGGAAUACAUUUCAUGUCUUAGCAAUUAGGCGCCCACCUAUGUAACAAGGGAAUACAUUUCAUGUCUUAGCAAUUAGUCGCCCACCUGUAUAAUGAGAGAAUAUUUUUUCAGUCUUUACAUUUCAGGUCUUGAAAUCAGUAACCCACCGGAAGGCAGAAGGUUACCACAAAAAAAUCCCCAGUAUAAUGAAGGAAGCCCCAUCCUCAGGACAUAAAAAAUGAUGAAAACUGGUGUUCAGGAAAGAAAAAGGCCAGUGUCAUCCCCACCAGUUUUCAGAAGAAAGAAGCACCAGAAGAAGCACAAGCGGACGAACCCAAAAUAUUCUAUUCGAGGGCGGAAGAACCCAUAAUAUCCUAUUAAAGAGCGGAUGAACCCAUAAUAUCCUAUUUAAGGGCGGAUAGACCCAUCAUAUCCUAUUCGAGGGCGGAUAUACCCAUCAUACCCUAUUCGAGGGCGGAUAUACCCAUAAUAUCCUAGUCGAGGGCGGAUAGACCCAUCACAUCCUGUUCGAGGGUGGAUAUACCCAUCAUAUCCUACUUGAGGGAGGAUAUACCCAUAAUAUCCUAGUCGAGGGCGGAUAGACCCAGCAUAUCCUAUUCGAGGGUGGAUAUACCCAUCAUACCCUAUUCAAGGGCGGAUAUACCCAUAAUAUCCUAGUCGAGGGCGGAUAGAUCCAUCACAUCCUAUUCGAGGGCGGAUAUACCCAUCAUAUCCUAUUCGAGGGAGGAUAUACCCAUAAUAUCCUAGUCGAGGGUGGAUACAUCCAUCACAUCCUAUUUGAGGGUGGAUAGACCCACAAAUAUCCUAUUCGAGGGUAGAUAUACCCAUCAUACCCUAUUUGAGGGUGGAUAGACCCAUAAUAUCCUAUUCGAGCGCGGAUAGACCCAUAAUAUCCUAUUCGAGGGCGGAUAUACCCAUCAUAUCCUAUUCGAGGGAGGAUAGACCCAUAAUAUCCUAUUCGAGGGCGGAUAUACCCAUCAUAUCCUAUUCGAGGGCAGAUAGACCCAUAAUAUCCUAUUUGAGGGCAGAUAUACCCAUCAUAUCCUAUUCGAGGACGGAUAGACCCAUAAAUAUCCUAUUCGAGGGCGGAUAUACGCAUCAUAUCCUAUUCGAGGGCGGAUAUACCCAUAAUAUCCUAUUCGAGGGCGGAUAGGCUCAUCAUAUCCUAUUCGAGGGCGGAUAGACCCAAAAUAUCCUAUUCAAGGGCAGAUAGACCCAUCAUCAAAACUUGAAAUUUAAAGACCGAAAUAUAUUCCUCUAUUAUACGGGCGGGUUCCCGAUUUCGAGACUUAAAAUUAUCUUACCCCCGACUAUUUUUCUUAAAAAAAUGCAUUGUCUGGCUACCCUUUAAUAGUUGAAUUGCUUUCCUCGUUCCUCCGAGAAAAUUUUCGAAAAUGACAGAGAAUUUUCUGCCCCAUUUUUGGCAAUCUUCCUUGUGGUGUGUCUUUCUGCCAUUAAUAAUAUUUCCUUUUCCUGCUUCAAAUCAAAGAGAAUUUCAUUAGUUUAAAGUGUGGUGGUUGGUUGGGGAUGGUCUUUCCUUUUAUCCUUUCCUUGCUCUGCGUUCCAUCAUGCUAUCAAAACUUGCUGGGGAUGAUAUUAUUUGGUGGAGAUGACAUUGCUGGGGAAUAACUUUUCUUCCCAUGCUUUUCUACUUCCUUAAAAAAAUUUAUUAAGUGUUAUCAUCUGGGGAUAACAUUGUUGAGGAUAACACUGCUGGGGGAAUUUUAUUCCUUUAAAAUCAGUGCUUCAUUCUAUUCACUGGGGAUACAACUUCCUUCAUUAAAACUUGUUAUUCUAGAGAUAACACACCAUUAAAGACCAUUUUCCUUGAGGCUUAUCUUAUCUUACUUCUUCCCCAAGUGGAUACCUGAUUUCUCAAAAAUUUUCAAAAUGAAAGGAAAAUUUUCUGCCCCAGUUUGAUGAUCUUCCUUGUGGCACGCGUUUUCGCCAUCAAUGCCAUUUUCUUUUACCUGCUUCAAAUCAAAGAAUUCCUGACUCAUUCCACUUGGAUGUACUAGUCAGAUCUCGUCUUGCAUAAUUGGACAUCUGAUGGUAGAUUUUGAAAUCAUUUCUCACUUGUUCUGACCAAAAAGACUCUACUGGGGAAAUUUUUUAUGAAAGGAGAAAGAUAAAAGGGGACAAGAGGAAGAUCAGUAGGAAGCAAUGGCAGCAGACACACAGUGACAACAGUUCAACAACAUGGGAGUAACCCAGUAACAGCGGGAAUAGCAACAAAACCCAGGAGAUUACAACCAAGCGGAAAAACCAAAAAUUUCCAAACCAACCGAAAACCAACAUAAACCCAAGCAACACUACUUGAAUGCCAAUAGUAUUAGAAAACAAGUACAGACCAACAGAGAAAUAAUCAGUUGCCAAAAAUAGUCACUUCUGAUUUUUUUAACACUCGGGAAAAAGAAGCUAGAAGCUUCAAUGAACAAUAGCAGUUGAUGUUGAUUGUUAACAGUGAAGAAGAACAGAUUUUUCUUUAAUUUCUAACUUUCCAACACUCAAAAAUUCUUAAGAUUCAAAAGCCUUUUUAUCUUCCCUCCAGUUCUGAAAUUUCUCUCCCCAAAAUUCAGUCCCCUUUUAAGUGUUAAAUGAGUUCUAUUAUAUACCCAAAGCAAGUCUCUUUCCUCUAUUCUUUUAACUAUUAAAUCUUACUUUUAAACAAUUAUUACUAACAAAUUUACCUUUUUACUUUCCAGCUCAUAUUCUUCUAACUAUGUGACUUUUUAACCUUUUAUUAUUACAUAUACUAUUUCUAAUUUUAAUUAAGUAAAAAGUAAUCAAUACAGACCCCACAGUCCCACCCCUUUUCAGUGGUCAAAGAAUACCUUUUAUUAUUACCUCAUUUUUACUUUACAUCAUUAUGUCUUGUCCCGUACUAACCCUUGUCCCCUCUUAUUUUAACAAAAAGUUAUGGGAUCACAUUUAACCAAUUCCCAAAAUGCCCCUGAAAUUACUAAAAAUUACUAUUCUACCCCAUCAGCUAUAACCCAUUCACCGAAAUUAAUUAACCAAAAUAUAGCAGCUAUAACCAAUUCCUAAUCAAAUUCAAACUAUAUGAUGAACAACAAAGAACCAACUGAAAUAAUUUUGACUGAACAAUAUUUUUAACAACAAAUAUACUUUCAGAUUCAACAAUAAUAACAAGACUGAACAUAGAAAACAAGUAGAUUCAAAUCACUAAACUCAGAUUCAAAUUAAACCUAAAAAAAAAAAAUAAACAAAUUCAAAUCUCUAAACUCAAUAAUCAAUUGAACCUCAAACUAAAUCUAACAAUAUACAACCAAGAUGAAAGAUUCAAGUGAUUAAACUAACACACUUCUAUAUUAAAACUAAAUUCUUUUAAAUGAAUAAAAUAAGCUUGACGAAAUAAUCAAGAAAUGAUAAACAACGAACAAGAAAAGAAUCAAACAUAUACUGAUUUCAAAUUCGAGAAUAUCAAGAAAAAUAUGGACAGAAAUGAAACUUAAACCAAUUAACCGGAUCGGAACAACGACGAACUUGAGCGGAAACAAAUCUGCCCGGAAACUUGAACUAAACUCGGGAAGCAAAAUCGACGAACUCUAUGACAGUGAGUAGAAUUGUUCGUUCAAGGAGUUCUGAAGGGUUCCGUUAGGUCGACGGAACAGUAGGGGAUCUUUUGGGCACGUGAAAGCUGGUGCGCGUUGGGUUAUCGACUGGGCUUUGGUGCAGCAACGGGGAGGCUGCUGCUACUGGUUGCUCAAGACGUGAGGGGGGUGAUACAGAAGCAGACUGGUUUGGUUGCUUGGACGUCGGCAGUAGCGGGGAAAGGGCUGUUCGUGGUGGAUGUUGGAACGAUGGGGAUGAGAGUUGGACGUGAGGUCGUUUGGUGAGUUGAAGGAGAUGAUAAGAUGAAGCAGCAACAAUGGAUGUUGCUUCUGGUUGGCGAUGAUGGAGGGGUCGUUUGGACGCGGAUCGAUGGGGCUGGAGGGUGUUUGUUUGGUUGUUCAUUGCUGUGGAGGGUCGUCUCGGGUGGUUUCAGGUUGAUAAGAAGACAAAAAAAGGGGCAUCGGGGUGGUCGGGUUCGUGGGGUGCUGUGGGGUUGGUCGAAGAAUAUGAGUAAGGGGGGAGGGGUUGUGCUCUUGCGACUGAAGAAGAAUGGUU